CACAGAGCUAAUAGUUGAAGCAUAAAAGAGGCACACUAGAACAAAUCACAGAGGAGAGGUGGUAGAGCAGUGGGAUGAGUGACGUAAGUGUGGCAGAGUACCACCGUGUCUGAUACAGUGCAGGCAGAGCUUGCUGCCAGUUUAACUGAUCUCAGAGCUUUGUAGGCACCCGCACAGAGUACUGCUAGAAAGGGUCUGAAGGAUGGAAAUUGUACCUCCUUAAAACAUGGAGUUGAGUUUUAUUCUGCAGCAUAGAAUCAGUGCUGAAUUGCUGAAGCUACACAGGAGAGGAUGAUGAUGGAGUUUUCGUUCCUGCUCGUGUUUUGAAUAUCACAACCUCCCCAGCAAAGUAAAUGCAGAAAGGCACAUACAGACCUAAUGCUGCAGCUGCCCAUGGCUUUAGGAAGGUGGAAAAGAUGCACCUCCACUACAAAAGGAUGAGGACUGGGCCAGUGGGAUGUGCUGCAGGAACUGGGAUUCCGCAGGAAGGUUUUGUCGUGCUAUGAAGGUUGCUGGGGAUGAUAGAGAAGCUGGAAAGUCUCUGAGGUGCAGACAAGCAUGCAUAAAUCAUAUCUGUGAACCAAAAUCAAUCCCUAAGAAACGAUUUUCCCCCAGGCCGAAUUGGCUAUGGAAAUGGCAAAUGCCUUCAUAUCAGUUCUCAAGCCUGCAAGCUGGGUUGUGACUGCUUCCUGCUGGUGGAAUCAGCAUGAAAUGAAGGCCAUGAAGUGAUGGUAAACCAUUUCUUGUGUCUGCCAUAGCAAAUCAAGUGCUUUCCUGUCCAUCUCUCUGGUAAGUUCUGCGUACUGUCAGUAUCUGUAAUUCAGACCUUUUAAAGGUUUUUAGGAUGGUUUCUCAGUCUUUUCUAGGUUCUUUCCUUCCCUCCCCCCCUCCCGCCCC
Molecule: long non-coding RNA, 897 nt
Filed under: Anas platyrhynchos platyrhynchos (common mallard)
Lineage: Eukaryota; Metazoa; Chordata; Aves; Anseriformes; Anatidae
Description: lncRNA (ENSAPLG00000018140.1)
Source: RNAcentral